This 269-nucleotide ribosomal RNA is filed under the name uncultured prokaryote. Its description in RNAcentral is "partial 16S ribosomal RNA". It matches the Rfam family "Bacterial small subunit ribosomal RNA", at positions 524 to 792 of the family's 1533-position model. The record is from RNAcentral.
UACGUAGGUGGCAAGCGUUAUCCGGAAUUAUUGGGCGUAAAGAGCGCGCAGGUGGUUGAUUAAGUCUGAUGUGAAAGCCCACGGCUUAACCGUGGAGGGUCAUUGGAAACUGGUCGACUUGAGUGCAGAAGAGGGAAGUGGAAUUCCACGUGUAGCGGUGAAAUGCGUAGAGAUAUGGAGGAACACCAGUGGCGAAGGCGGCUACCUGGCCUGUAACUGACGGUCAAGCACGAAAGCGUGGGGAGCAAAUAGGAUUAGAUACCCUCGUA